This 497-nucleotide ribosomal RNA is filed under the name uncultured bacterium. Its description in RNAcentral is "partial 16S ribosomal RNA". It matches the Rfam family "Bacterial small subunit ribosomal RNA", at positions 28 to 507 of the family's 1533-position model. The record is from RNAcentral.
GAUGAACGCUGGCGGCGUGCCUAAUACAUGCAAGUCGAGCGAACAGACGAGGAGCUUGCUCCUCUGACGUUAGCGGCGGACGGGUGAGUAACACGUGGAUAACCUACCUAUAAGACUGGGAUAACUUCGGGAAACCGGAGCUAAUACCGGAUAAUAUAUUGAACCGCAUGGUUCAAUAGUGAAAGACGGUUUUGCUGUCACUUAUAGAUGGAUCCGCGCCGCAUUAGCUAGUUGGUAAGGUAACGGCUUACCAAGGCAACGAUGCGUAGCCGACCUGAGAGGGUGGUCGGCCCCACUGGAACUGAGACACGGUCCAGACUCCUACGGGAGGCAGCAGUAGGGAAUCUUCCGGAAUGGGCGAAAGCCUGACGGAGCAACGGCGCGUGAGUGAUGGAAGUCUUCGGAUCGGAAAACUCUGUUAUUAGGGAAGAAAAAAUGUGUAAGUAACUAUGCACGUCUUGACGGUACCUAAACAGAAAACCACGGCUAAAUACCUG